RNAcentral lists this ribosomal RNA (301 nucleotides) under uncultured bacterium. RNAcentral's name for it is "partial 16S ribosomal RNA". It matches the Rfam family "Bacterial small subunit ribosomal RNA", at positions 509 to 809 of the family's 1533-position model. The record is from RNAcentral.
CAGCAGCCGCGGUAAUACGUAGGGUGCGGGCGUUAAUCGGUAUUACUGGGCGUAAAGCGUGCGCAGGCGGUUAUGUAAGACAGAUGUGAAAUCCCCGGGCUCAACCUGGGACCUGCAUUUGUGACUGUAUAGCUAGAGUACGGUAGAGGGGGAUGGAAUUCCGCGUGUAGCAGUGAAAUGCGUAGAUAUGCGGAGGAACACCGACGGCGAAGGCAAUCCCCUGGACCUGUACUGACGCUCAUGCACGAAAGCGUGGGGAGCAAACAGGAUUAGAUACCCCUGUAGUCCCUGUCUCUUAUAA